This is a long non-coding RNA of Hyaena hyaena (striped hyena), 322 nucleotides long. RefSeq lists it as uncharacterized. The transcript is spliced from 3 exons. The record is from RefSeq and is a predicted model, not a curated record. Lineage: Eukaryota; Metazoa; Chordata; Mammalia; Carnivora; Hyaenidae.
CUGUAACUAGUGACUGGGCCCCCGCUGUGCACCCGUCCCUGGGAACCAGACCUCCACCGGUGCGCACCGGGGCUCCCCACCUCACCAGCCCCCCUCGCCUGGCUCGGUUCCACCCACCCGAGUGUAUAAGAUUCCUGGGCACAGAAGUGGACUUACCAAAGUAGUGGGCAAAAGCCUAUUGCAACCAACACAUUGAAGCACCGCCUUGCCAUUACAAUGUGCAGUUCUGUAUUCAUCUGUGUAGCUGUGUCAGGUCUUCACAGCAAUUAGAAGGUUGGCUUCUGGGGGCACCUGGCUGGUUCAAUUGGUAAAGCGUGUGACU